Molecule: ribosomal RNA, 253 nt
Filed under: uncultured bacterium
Lineage: Bacteria
Description: partial 16S ribosomal RNA
Rfam family: Bacterial small subunit ribosomal RNA
Source: RNAcentral
UACGAAGGGGGCUAGCGUUGUUCGGAAUUACUGGGCGUAAAGCGCACGUAGGCGGAUACUUAAGUUAGGGGUGAAAUCCCAGAGCUCAACUCUGGAACUGCCUUUAAUACUGGGUAUCUCGAGUCCGAGAGAGGUGAGUGGAAUUCCGAGUGUAGAGGUGAAAUUCGUAGAUAUUCGCAAGAACACCAGUGGCGAAGGCGGCUCACUGGUCCGGUACUGACGCUGAGGUGCGAAAGCGUGGGGAGCAAACAGG